AGGGAUCAUUACCGAGUUGUCCUUUGUGACACUCCCUUUACACCCUUGUGAACAUACCGUCGUUGCCUCGGUGGGCGCGUUUUCUCGCCCGCCGAUGGCCCUAUAUACCAAAUUCUGUUUCUAUUAUUACUUCUGAACAAAUAACAAAUUAUGUUAAAACUUUCAACAACGGAUCUCUUGGUUCUGGCAUCGAUGAAGAACGCAGCGAAAUGCGAUAAGUAAUGUGAAUUGCAGAAUUCAGUGAAUCAUCGAAUCUUUGAACGCACAUUGCGCCCGCCAGUAUUCUGGCGGGCAUGCCUGUUCGAGCGUCAUUUCAACCCUCAAACCCCCGGGUUUGGUGUUGGAGAUCGGCAUGAGUCCUUCGGGGCGACGCCGUCUCCCAAAUAUAGUGGCGGUCUCGCUGUAGCUUCCUAUGCGUAGUAGCACACCUCGCACUGGAAAGCAGCGCGGCCACGCCGUUAAACCCCCCACUUUCUGAGUUUGACCUCGAAUCAGGUAGGAUUACCCGCUGAACUUAA
RNAcentral lists this ribosomal RNA (518 nucleotides) under uncultured fungus. Its description in RNAcentral is "eukaryotic LSU rRNA". The stretch from base 158 to 311 matches the Rfam family "5.8S ribosomal RNA". The record is from RNAcentral. Lineage: Eukaryota; Fungi.